This 105-nucleotide ribosomal RNA is filed under the name Pseudoflavonifractor sp. An187. Its description in RNAcentral is "partial 16S ribosomal RNA". It matches the Rfam family "Bacterial small subunit ribosomal RNA", at positions 1438 to 1533 of the family's 1533-position model. The record is from RNAcentral. Lineage: Bacteria; Bacillati; Bacillota; Clostridia; Eubacteriales; Oscillospiraceae.
ACCGCAAGGGGGGCGCGGCCGAAGGUGGGUUCGAUAAUUGGGGUGAAGUCGUAACAAGGUAGCCGUAUCGGAAGGUGCGGCUGGAUCACCUCCUUUCUAAGGAGA